UCGAAGCACGGGCCAGGAGCCGGGGUAAUACGUGGGGGGGAAGCGUUAUCCGGAUUUAGUGGGCGUAAAGCGAGCGCAGGCGGUUGGUGAAGUCUGAUGUGAAAGCCCUCGGCGUAACCGAGGAAGCGCAUCGGAAACUGGGAAACUUGAGUGCAGAAGAGGACAGUGGAACUCCAUGUGUAGCGGUGAAAUGCGUAGAUAUAUGGAAGAACACCAGUGGCGAAGGCGCCUGUCUGGUCUGUAACUGACGCUGAGGCUCGAAAGCAUGGGUAGCGAACAGGAUUAGAUACCCCAGUAGUC
RNAcentral lists this ribosomal RNA (300 nucleotides) under uncultured Lactobacillus sp. RNAcentral's name for it is "bacterial SSU rRNA". It matches the Rfam family "Bacterial small subunit ribosomal RNA", at positions 496 to 795 of the family's 1533-position model. Lineage: Bacteria; Bacillati; Bacillota; Bacilli; Lactobacillales; Lactobacillaceae. The record is from RNAcentral.